Molecule: ribosomal RNA, 485 nt
Filed under: uncultured bacterium
Lineage: Bacteria
Description: partial 16S ribosomal RNA
Rfam family: Bacterial small subunit ribosomal RNA
Source: RNAcentral
GAUGAACGUCGGCGGCGUGCUUAACACAUGCAAGUCGAACGGGAACUAAGGGGUGCUUGCCAUCCUUGGCAAGAGUGGCGAACGGGUGAGUAACACGUGAGCAACCUGUCCUUUUCUCUGGGAUAAGCACCAGAAAGGGUGUUUAAUAACUUAUGUUCUGUCUGCCUUGUAUGGGGUGGGUGGGAAAGGCCUUGGCCGGUUUUGGGUGGGCUCGCGGCCUAUCAGCUUGUUGGUGGGGCGAUGGCUUACCAAGGCUUUGACGGGUAGCCGGCCUGAGAGGGUCGUCAGUCACAUGCGGACUGAGUUACAGCCCAGACUCCUGCGGCCAGCAGCAGUUGGGACUAUUGCACAAUGGUCGAAAACCUGAUGCAGCGACGCCGCGUAACGGAUGGAGGCCUUCGAGGUGUUAACUUCUUUUGCUCUGGACAAAGCAUGCCGGUGGGUGAGUUGAGUGUAGGGGUUGAUUAGCGCCGGCUAACUACGUG